CCCUUAGAUGUCCUGGGCCGCACGCGCGUUACACUGAUGCAUUCAACGAGCUUAUAACCUUGGCCGAGAGGCCUGGGCAAUCUUGUUAACGUGCAUCGUGAUAGGGAUAGAUUAUUGAAAUUAGUAAUCUUGAACGAGGAAUUCCUAGUAAACGCAGAUCAUCAAUCUGCAUUGAUUACGUCCCUGCCCUUUGUACACACCGCCCGUCGCACCUACCGAUUGGAUGGUCCGGUGAAGCCUCGGGAUUGUGGUUCUUGCCGCUUUAUUGUGGCGUGACCGCGAGAACUUGUCUAAACCUUAUCAUCUAGAGGAAGGUGAAGUCGUAACA
This 328-nucleotide ribosomal RNA is filed under the name uncultured eukaryote. RNAcentral's name for it is "partial 18S ribosomal RNA". It matches the Rfam family "Eukaryotic small subunit ribosomal RNA", at positions 1470 to 1796 of the family's 1831-position model. The record is from RNAcentral.